CCUACGGGAGGCAGCAGUGAGGAAUAUUGGUCAAUGGGCGCGAGCCUGAACCAGCCAAGUCGCGUGAGGGAGGACGGCCCUACGGGUUGUAAACCUCUUUUGCCGGGGAGCAACGGGCGUCACGUGUGGCGCCACUGAGAGUACCCGGAGAAAAAGCAUCGGCUAACUCCGGGCCAGCAGCCGCGGUAAUACGGAGGAUGAGAGCGUUAUCCGGAUUUAUUGGGUUUAAAGGGUGCGUAGGCGGAUCGUUAAGGCCGUGGUCAAAUUGAGGGGCUCAACCCCUUCCCGCCAUUGAAACUGGCGUUCUUGAGUAGAAGAGAAGUAUGCGGAAUGCGUGGUGUAGCGGUGAAAUGCAUAGAUAUCACGCAGAACCCCGAUUGCGAAGGCAGCAUGCCGGCUUCCGACUGACGCUGAAGCACGAAAGCGUGAGGAUCGAACAGGAUUAGAUACCCUUGUAGUC
RNAcentral lists this ribosomal RNA (460 nucleotides) under uncultured bacterium. Its description in RNAcentral is "partial 16S ribosomal RNA". It matches the Rfam family "Bacterial small subunit ribosomal RNA", at positions 338 to 795 of the family's 1533-position model. The record is from RNAcentral.